RNAcentral lists this non-coding RNA (45 nucleotides) under Schistosoma mattheei. The record is from RNAcentral. Lineage: Eukaryota; Metazoa; Platyhelminthes; Trematoda; Strigeidida; Schistosomatidae.
AUUCAGCUAACGAGUCUCAAAUAAGACGAAACAUGCAUCCUGGAU